This is a long non-coding RNA of Notothenia coriiceps (black rockcod), 5471 nucleotides long. RefSeq lists it as uncharacterized. The transcript has 2 exons. The record is from RefSeq and is a predicted model, not a curated record. Lineage: Eukaryota; Metazoa; Chordata; Actinopteri; Perciformes; Nototheniidae.
GUGUUCCCCUCUCUUUCUCCCUGCAGUGAAGGAGAUUGACACGACGUUGACCACCAUCAUUGUCUCAGUGGUGGGGGGAGUCAUUGGCCUGUCUAUCCUUGGCAUGGUAAUCAAGGCCUUGGUGAUUAACUUCCUGCUGAAGGAUGAUGAGAAGAACAAAGAGUGUCUGGUGAGCUCAGGGAAUGACAACACAGAAAAUGGACAUUCAGGAGCCAAAGCAGAUAACAAAGGGACACCAAAGGCAUGAGCAAAAUGCAAAGUAUGUCUGUAUGUUUGUAUAUAUGUUAGACAAAUGUACACGCUCAGAGAAAAUGCUGUUCAGUGGACUGUUUUAUCUUACUAGCGGCUAACAUGUAAAUGUCUAUUUUAAAUCAUGCUUGAGAUUUGGGGAGGGGGGAAUGUGCAAAAACCCUAAAUCCUUCUCUCACCUUCACGAAAGCCCGUUCGUUACACAGUGUGCAGCCUAAGUGAUUCAAAAAUAUGCUCUAAUAUCUGACACUUUUCCUACAGUAGAGCCUUAAGUGGCGUCCAACAGAGAGGUGCAGGAAUUAUGAGUCUGUAUUUUAGCUUAUCAGGGCUCCCUUGCCUUGGAGGGUCAGUUGUUCUUUGAAUGAGUUUUUGGUUAGAUUCCUGAAAUAAAGUCUGUGUGGGUUCACACAAGCUUAUGAGCUGUUCACGUUUUGUUUAAAAACAUCAAAUGAGUCAGCAAACACACAACUUGCAAAAAAAGUAAUCAUGCCGAACAUUAGCCGCAUUUGGCAUGUAAGUAUUAAUUAUUUCAACUUUGGCCUAGUUUGCAGCUGCAACCAAUCAGAUAACAGCUCUAUGUAACGCUAGCAGGCGAGGUAACCAUAGAAAUUAAUUUAACUAGCGGUUUUCUACCAAAGACUCUGCGCCCUACCCUGCAGUGAGCAAAGAACAAAGGGCGCCUCAUGUGCAGGCAGCUUUAGAAAUGGAGAUUAUCCCACUGAAGAAUAUUUGUACGUAUCAUACAUGUUUGCCUCAAAGCUUAUUUUGUGCAUAUUUUCAAAGUCUAUUUUAAACAUCCCAUUGGCUUCUAGUCGAGGGUGCCCUUGUGAAGCUAAUUUAGAGUUCAGACUAAAACAAUUAGUCAUCACUGCACCACUCUGUUCACCCUUUUACAAAAUGUAUUGAGGAACGACUUUGAGAAUCCUCAGAUGUAGUUUUAAUUGCAUAUUCCAAAUGUCAAUAAUCAACUGCCAACAGUUUUGUUAGAUUCUUCCAUUUAGAGUCAAACUUGGACCCAAACAAACACACUUUGAUGACAUAAGGAAAUGCCACGAUCUAUGAACUGCCAUGACGUCGACCGACCGAAGAACAGCACAGAAUACAGAAUACAUAAAACCAGAGGACCACUCAGCCAGAGUUUUGAUAAUGAAGUUAGCCAACAUUUUCUGGUUUUAAUCAAAUAACAUUUACAUUUAGGUACAAAUAAUGUGCUACUAAUCAAACACUGUUUACAUUUGUUUGUUUGCUAGUAGUUGUUUUUAAAGGAUUUGUUGACAUUGUGGUCCUUUGUCAUAAUUACUGCCAAUGCAAGCUUCAACUUUACCUUGCAUGUUUACAGCUGGGUCCAGGUUUGACAUGUGGUUGUUUUAUUAAAGCCAAAAAUAUGUUUUUGAUCAACUUUACGUCUUGCUAACUCUGACAACGGGCUUUCUUAGGUGAGAGAAGGAUUGUAUUGUUUUGCUUUAGAUGAAACACUGGUGCCUGUUCUGCUUCGUCUCCCCCUGCUGGUGGGAGGACAAAAAACACAAAACAAUUAUUUAAAAAAAAAAAAAUCUACCAACCCUAUCCUUCAUCAAAGACAAUCCCUAGACUACCCAGCUCCCUAUAGAAAUGAAUGAACUUAAUCAUGCUGCUUCUGACUAAUAACCAAUGCAUUUUUAGCAUGUGCGCAUUUUAUAUAACAUCAUAUAUGUAUAUGUUGUCUAGCACCACAGUACAUGGACAUUUAUGUGUGUCUCUAUAUGAUCCCAUUUAACCAUUCACGUUAAUUGACCGAAGCUCCGUCAAUAAGCACUUCUCAACACUGCUUUUCUGACCCCUUUUAACUAAAGGUGGCUCCUAUGUAAUAAAAUAAUUGCCUGCAGGUAAUUGUGGGAAAGAGAGGGUGAAAUACAUUUAACACCUACAGAAAAAUAAGAACAAUAUCUUUAAAUGUGACUAAUACAAUUCAACCAAUCUGCUAGAAAACCUUAAGAACAUGUCACUUUUGUUCAUUGGCAUAAUUAAUCACUUCUGUAUGUCUGCGCUUAUGUGGUUACCUUUCCAAACACAAACUUGCUCCUAGAACACUUUACACAUAGAUGUAUUUGUGCUAAAAAAUAGUCCAUUGAUAGUGCCUCAGUAAUGGAGGCAGCACAGCAUUGACACAGAUCACUGAAAGAAUGUAAAGACUGUCAGGGAAUAGAUGUUAAAUAUUGUCCAAAAAAAUAUUAUAUUUUAAUGAAUUCUAAAAGUAAUAUUCAAUAUAUAAAUAUAUUAUUAUCAAAGGAAUGUGUGAAUAUCCCAAAAGGCCAGUGGUUCAUUCUUCUUCUUCGUCGUUUUAUUGUGAUCCCACCAAGACUUUAAGUGUGUUGCUCAGUUCAUUGGUUACUUGCUGUGACUACAUCCAGGAAUGUUAAGCAUUGAAGAUUAUAUUCGUUUUUUGCUUUUAACUAAGUCUGGUGUCUUAGCACUAAAAACAUGCAUUGGUGAGAACAGAUGAGGAAGUGGCGAAUAGUAAUGGUAGAAUAUUUAGAGAAUUUGUUUCAAGAGAAGAGAUAUGGAUAAAGUUCACAAAGCCUUCAUUACUUCUUCUUCAUCUCGUGAUAAACAAACAUGGAUCAAUUUAGUGCUGAGAGGCCGACUGGGAACUAGAAGCUUCUCUCUAUGCGACUCAGUGCGAGAAGUCACCUCUUUGAAUAGCUAUAACAGUGGAACACUACACAAAAACAUACCUAGUCACAUAAGACCCACUUCUUUGAGUGUCGUAAACUGGCCUUGUAUUCAAACAACACAGCACUUUAACACAAUCCAGAGUGGGUGCACAACACAGGAAGUGACUUCUGAAUGGUCAUUCUUUUAUAAUUUUUUACAAAAGUAAACUAAAUCCAAGUUGCUCUCGUACCUCACCACAGCAUUGUGUGACUACAUGUUGGAUCAGUUUUACUGGAAGAUGUUAUUUCUUCGUUCUAAUCUCCAUCAGCCUGAUGCGCUCUAAAACUGGAGUGCAUCUCCCUUCUUGCUUUCAAUGGAAGCAAUAAGACAGACAACAGAUUAUGCAAUAACCUGUUAUAGGGCACUUUAAAGAGGUGUCUGGACUGGCUUUGAUUGAAACUUUUUCUGUCCAUGACACUUUCAUUAUACCAAUGUGUGUAUCUACACUGUGCAAUGCAUGGACAUUAGAUUCAAACUGUGCAUUAGACAGAUGUUUCUGCUUUGGAAAACUGUACUAGCUACUAACAUGUGACUGUUCAGUGUUAGAAGUGAUACAGCGUCCUUGAUGUGAUAUAAAACUGUGAAUGUUAUGGAUAUAAGAAAGCACUACAUACGGACACACACACACACCCACACACUUGCAUCCUUGUCUCAAAAGGUCUUGUGCAUAUGUCUCUGUGAAAAGGGUACACAUGUACCUUCAAAGUCUUCCUGUAGGGAAAAGCAAUUUUGUGGUGUUGGUCUGUCUGUUAGUGUUAAUUUCUUAACUCAUGCUUUGACAUAGCAUAACAAACAGGUGGAUUAGUGUAGGGAAUGUGAUGCAUAACUUGUAUAUUUGUGGAUACAACAUCCAUUGUGUGAUCCCUGUUUUUCUGUGACUUGAUUUUUUUUAAUGUUUUCUAGAGGGAAGCCCAUUAAUAGAGAUUUGUUCUGACUUUAUGUGGAAGUAAGAAUGUAUUUUUUUUUUUUUAAGUAAAACAACUCAAAAAGUGUAAAACCAUGUCAAAAUAUUCCCAGAAAACCAAAUUCAGGUAUAUGGGAUGUAGUACCCUGUGGAAAUGUACUCAAACGACCAAAAGCAAAGGCUGAUUUUUAAUAUUUUUCUCAUAUGAGCCCAUUUGUACACCUGCCUGUCUUUAAUAUCUGAACCUUAUAUGAGUCUUGAGGUCUGUUUACCGCUUAUAUAGUGAUUGCUGCAGUACUGAGUCUGCCUUGUACAGUGUUGGAUGCUUCUCUGCAGUGGUGCAAUACACACCGAAAAUACACAAUGACUGCCACCCAGUGGUAAACGCCUGCCACAUACAAGCUAAUGAAACAUAAUGCAUUCUAUGAUUUCAGAUUGAAAUGGAAAACAAACACUGCGUCAAUAAGGCUAAGAUUUCCUUGUAUGUAAAUGACUACACUUUUCACAGUGGAGGAAACAUAAACCUCAUUUUAAAUGCUUUUAGAUAAUGCUUUUAGUUGGAUUGUUUAGUAUACAUCAUUCUAAUCCCUGUGCCCAUUGGGCGUUUAAGAAAAAUGGGGGACGAGUGUGUAGGAAAAGGAAACAUGCAACUAUUUGUUCAAACGUGAAUCCUUUAUCAAAUUGCUCCCCUUGUGAGCAUUGAAAAGUUACCUUUAGUCUCAGUGUUAAAGUCGCAUGUCUAACUAAAGGAACAGACUGACCACGAUGAUUCCUUAAAGCUAGUAUUGCUCUUACUGCCAGAGCGGCUGAAACUCAUACUGCCAAUCCAAGAGUCUCACGUCUGCUGUACACUAUAUUACAAUGACUCUCGACGUCCCUUAGUACACUUACAAUUUACUGAAACAUGUUGCAUUGCCGUCUACCGCUGUAUUAAAAGUGCUGAAUGAUAUUGCUCUGUAAUACUUCUGUAUCUGUAGCAGCUGGAACUCACACUGCCAAGCCAAGAGUCUGAUGUCUGCUUCCCACAUUCCACACAGAGAAAAGAGAUCGAAAAACGGAUUUAAUGCCGGCGUAAAAUGUAACUUGACUCCUAUCCUGAUCCAAUGGGAUGAUCAAGGAAAUAGGAGCAACAUGUUACUUAUUUUUGGCAAUUGUUUUCCUAUUCAGAAUCAAAGGAUUAUAGUUAGGAACGCCAAACAAUGAUGCAUUGUCUGACUUGUUGCGUGUCGAAACUGAUUAUUUCAUAGGCUAGCUAGCUCAACAUUUGAAAUAAAAGCACAGGCUUAAACCGAACUCUUCACAUUUUCCCUCUGCCGUUCUGACUAUUUCAACCAUAUUUUGUACACAUAGCGGCUGUCAUUAAAUUAAAAACUCACUAAUAGUACAGUAUAGAAAUUAUAGUGUUUUAUAGAAGUCAACGUCUUGCAGCAAGUGACUUUAUCUUGCAAACAUCAGUACAGUCUAUUCAACAAGUACACAACACAUCCCCAGGUUUCCCCUGAUGUCCAGCUGUAUGUCUGUGUUUGUGUUCAUGUUGCUCAUGCUCCCUUCAUGACUAUGCAGCCCUAACUUUUGACUUGUUAAAAAAAAUACAUACUGGAAAUAAAAUGUUGUUUGAAAUUCC